This 1006-nucleotide long non-coding RNA is filed under the name Anas zonorhyncha (Eastern spot-billed duck). RNAcentral describes it as "lncRNA (ENSAZOG00000018733.1)". The record is from RNAcentral. Lineage: Eukaryota; Metazoa; Chordata; Aves; Anseriformes; Anatidae.
GUUUGCAGUUAAAAACACAAAUGAACAGGUAUACAUCAGCAUCUAUUGGUAAUGACAGCAGCAACACUUUCUCGAAAAGAAAAGCAGGAUCUGGCUACUCUGGGUCCGAGUUGUCUUGCUGCCUUUGAGGAGCACGUGCUGCAGCAGACGGCGUGUGGAGCCCCUGCCAGACAGGCGCAAGGGUUGGGCUUGCAGAUCUCAACAGCUCCAUUGCCAUGACGAAUGAAGCUGUCAGAGGAAGAUAUGAUUCUCUGGGCUUGGUCUACAGCCAUAGUUCUGCAGUUGAAGAUCUCAGACCAGGUCUCAGAUGUGAUAUGGAUGGUGAAGAAGACAUAAGGAAGAUGAUGCAGAGUGCACUGGAGAAUUAAGAGGUAUUUGGUGCACUUAAGGGAGGUUGAUAAGUGCUGUAAAGAAGCAUAUUGUAACAGUAAUUGUGCAGAUCAACAGACAUUACAUCACAGGAAAAUAAAUAAAAUCACAGUGUUUCUGAGAUCUGUUUGUUUCUAUAAUAUUUUUUUUUCAAUGAGCUUGUUUUAUAAAAAAAGUGAAUGAAUGGUAUUUUAAACCUAGAAAUAUCAGAUAUAAAGUCUAGGAGUCUUGCAGCUGUCUCCCUGUAUAAAGUAACAACACUCUAGCACUGUUUACCAAGCAGGAGGAAGCACUGAGUUUGGGUCAGAUAUAAGGAUUUCCAUUUCUUUCAGCAUUGGUGGACAUUGUGCCACCCCUUGCUCACAGAAAUUCUAUUUUGGCUGCCUGCCCAUUGGAGAUCUAGAAGAUGUGCAUCUGAUGUUGUGACCAUAUUGCAGAUCUGGGUGGUUACACUCUGCUGCUAGAUGUUUACACUACAUAUUUGUUCCAGGCUAGCAUUCACUCUUGAUUUUACUUACUCUUGACAUAGUGACUGAAACUAGAAGAGCAAUCCCUGUAUUUAGUCUGCAGAUCCCUUAGCAAAAGCUCUUUGAAAAGCUUUGGGAUCUUUCCACUGCACAAAUUUCACGUCUUUGUC